Molecule: long non-coding RNA, 1510 nt
Organism: Oncorhynchus tshawytscha (Chinook salmon)
Lineage: Eukaryota; Metazoa; Chordata; Actinopteri; Salmoniformes; Salmonidae
Source: Ensembl
CGUCACAUGACUGCAACUAGGAAACGGGGCUUUGAGAGCUAUCAGUAGAUAUUUCUUAAACGCGAUAACAGAAAGUACUAUCUUUUAUGUUACUCCCUUGCUCGUUGAAAGUGGUCCCGACACGAUAAGAAGCAACAUGGGCUCUCCUAACCAGACCUGUGACAGUGGUGGGUCUCUGUGUCCCCAUACAGUACGUUAACAUCCAGGUUACAGCACUUGGAUCGGGAUGAUUUUCACAGACCACUACCACAACAACCCUGUCAUGGUGUGUUUCUGCCAUCUUCUCCUGGAGAGACAACAGAGGACCACAGAGGCAGAAUCGUACUCCACGUUCCACAACACACCUUCGCCAGAUUCAGCCCGUGGAAGCAGGGCCAGGCGGUGAUGGAUGCUCCUCUACACCCUGAUGAAGAACCCACGACUGAUCCUCCUGAGGAAGAACAGGACCUCCUCCAGUCCCACUCACCAGGACACUGUUGUCCAAGCCUGGCUGCUGGCCUCUCAGACCGAACAGAUGGGACAGGCACCAGAGACGACAGCCACAGCCGUUACAUCAGAUCAGACGACGGCCAAUGGGCAGGCAUUAACUGACUGAUUCUGCUCAUGGCUUAUACAUGCGCAGCCUGAAAUAGUGUAGUACAAUAAUGUGACAUAACAUUUAGUAGGCCUACACACAUUUCGAGGACACCUUUUUGGCUCAUGGGUGCUACAUUUGAUACUACAGGCCAAGCUCUUACAAUGCAUUGUUUUGUAUGUGAUGAAUCAUGGGAAAUGGGGAUAACAACUGAAAUGUGUCUUCUGCAUUUAACCCAACCCCUCUGAAUCAGAGAGGUGCCGGGGGCUGGCUUAAUUGACAUCUACAUCUUUGGCACCCAGAGAACAGUGGGUUAACUGCCUUGCUUAGGGGCAGAACAACAGAUUCUUACCUUGUCAGCUCGGGGAUUCUAUCCAGCAAACUUUUGGUUACUGGGCCAAUGUUCUAACCAUUAGGCUAAUAUGAUUAAUGCAUUAUAAAUUCGGAAAUACCUACAUAAUUACUCCUACUGGGAAAAAUGAUAGGACAAAUUGGACAUAGUUAUGCUUUUUACCUCAUAACGGUCCAUUUGUUUUUACUAGGCCACGUAGCCACAGGAAGUAGAGGUGCUGAGGGUGUUGCAGCACUCUAAAAAAUCUGAAUAAAAAAUAUACAGUACCAGUCAAAAGUUUGGACACACCUACUCCAACCUCGGCCAACAGCUCCGCCCCCCCGGCAGCUCCUCGCCCAAGCCUCUCCAGGUUCUCCUUUACCCAAAUCCAGAUAGCAGAUGUUCUGAAAGAGCUGCAAAACCUGGACCCGUACAAAUCAGCUGGGCUUGACAAUCUGGACCCCCUAUUUCUGAAACUUUGCGCCGCCAUUGUCGCAACCCCUAUUACCAGCCUGUUCAACCUCUCUUUCAAAUCGUCUGAGAUCCCCAAGGAUUGGAAAGCUGCCGCAGUCAUCCCCCUCUUCAAAGGGGGAGACACCCUGGAC